This 89-nucleotide transfer RNA is filed under the name Eubacteriales bacterium OttesenSCG-928-M02. RNAcentral's name for it is "tRNA-Ser". It matches the Rfam family "tRNA". Rfam says of the family: Transfer RNA (tRNA) molecules are approximately 80 nucleotides in length. Their secondary structure includes four short double-helical elements and three loops (D, anti-codon, and T loops). Further hydrogen bonds mediate the characteristic L-shaped molecular structure. tRNAs have two regions of fundamental functional importance: the anti-codon, which is responsible for specific mRNA codon recognition, and the 3' end, to which the tRNAs corresponding amino acid is attached (by aminoacyl-tRNA synthetases). tRNAs cope with the degeneracy of the genetic code in two manners: having more than one tRNA (with a specific anti-codon) for a particular amino acid; and 'wobble' base-pairing, i.e. permitting non-standard base-pairing at the 3rd anti-codon position. The record is from RNAcentral. Lineage: Bacteria; Bacillati; Bacillota; Clostridia; Eubacteriales.
GGAGAGAUGUCCGAGUGGUUGAAGGAGCUAGUCUUGAAAACUAGUGAUGCCGUGAGGCACCGGGGGUUCGAAUCCCUCUCUCUCCGCCA